AAUAACGUGCUUGACAAAAAGGUCGCCUUGAUAGGGGGGAAAAUGAGAGGCAACCUCUCCGUUAUUA
This 67-nucleotide transfer RNA is filed under the name Nautilocaris saintlaurentae. Its description in RNAcentral is "tRNA-Ile". The record is from RNAcentral. Lineage: Eukaryota; Metazoa; Arthropoda; Malacostraca; Decapoda; Alvinocarididae.